Molecule: small nuclear RNA, 115 nt
Organism: Callithrix jacchus (white-tufted-ear marmoset)
Lineage: Eukaryota; Metazoa; Chordata; Mammalia; Primates; Cebidae
Source: Ensembl
GUUUGUACUCUUUCACCAGCAUAUGCUUUAAAUUGGAUCGAUAGAGAGCAGAUAAGCAUAAGCAUGGCUGCUGCCUAAGGAUGGCUCAGAAAUUCAUAAAGCAUUCCAUAUUUUG